This 466-nucleotide ribosomal RNA is filed under the name uncultured bacterium. RNAcentral describes it as "bacterial SSU rRNA". It matches the Rfam family "Bacterial small subunit ribosomal RNA", at positions 28 to 507 of the family's 1533-position model. The record is from RNAcentral.
GAUGAACGCUAGCGGCAGGCUUAACACAUGCAAGUCGAGGGGCAGCACGGGUAGCAAUACCUGGUGGCGACCGGCGCAAGGGUGCGUAACGCGUGAAGCAACAUGCCCUAUACAGGGGGAUAAUCCAGGGAAACUUGGUCUAAUAUCCCAUAGUAUUUAGAGGAGGCAUCUUCUAUAAAUUAAAGCUUCGGUGGUAUAGGAUUGGCUCGCGUGACAUUAGCUAGAUGGUGAGGUAACGGCUCACCAUGGCAAUGAUGUCUAGGGGUUCUGAGAGGAAGGCCCCCCCACACUGGGACUGAGACACGGCCCAGACUCCUACGGGAGGCAGCAGUGAGGAAUAUUGGACAAUGGGCGAAAGCCUGAUGCAGCGACGCCGCGUGAGCGAAGAAGUAUUUCGGUAUGUAAAGCUCUAUCAGCAGGGAAGAAAAUGACGGUACCUGACUAAGAAGCCCCGGCUAACUACGUG